UGAGUACGAGCUGCUACGGCAGCGAAGUGGGUGAUGUCAAGCUUCCAAGAAAAGCCCUAUACCCGUUAAGGCAUGACGGCCUGUACCCGAAACCGACACAGGUGGGGUGGUAGAGAAUACCGAGGGGCGCGAGAUAACUCUCUCUAAGGAACUCGGCAAAAUGGCCCCGUAACUUCGGGAGAAGGGGUGCCACCGCAAGGUGGUCGCAGUGAAGAGGCCCAGGCGACUGUUUACCAAAAACACAGGUCUCCGCUAAGUCGCAAGACGAUGUAUGGGGGCUGACGCCUGCCCAGUGCCGGAAGGUUAAGGAAGCUGGUCAGCGCAAGCGAAGCUAGCGACUGAAGCCCCGGUGAACGGCGGCCGUAACUAUAACGGUCCUAAGGUAGCGAAAUUCCUUGUCGGGUAAGUUCCGACCCGCACGAAAGGCGUAACGAUCUGGGCGCUGUCUCGGAGAGAGGCUCGGCGAAAUAGAAUUGUCUGUGAAGAUGCGGACUACGUGCACCCGGACAGAAAGACCCUAUGAAGCUUUACUGUAGCUUGGUAUUGUGCCCGGGCUCUGAAUGCGCAGGAUAGGUGGGAGGCUUUGAUCCAUUGCUUGUGGGUGAUGGUGAGCCACUGGUGAGAUACCACUCUUUCAGAGCUAGGGUUCUAACGGUCACCCGUUAUCCGGGGACCGGACAGUAUCAGGUGGGCAGUUUGUCUGGGGCGGUCGCCUCCUAAAAGGUAACGGAGGCGCGCAAAGGUUCCCUCAGGCUGGUUGGAAAUCAGCCGAUGAGUGUAAAGGCAGAAGGGAGCUUGACUGUGAGACCUACAAGUCGAACAGGGACGAAAGUCGGCCUUAGUGAUCCGACGGUUCUGAGUGGAAGGGCCGUCGCUCAACGGAUAAAAGUUACUCUAGGAUAACAGGCUGAUCUCCCCCAAGAGUUCACAUCGACGGGGAGGUUUGGCACCUCGAUGUCGGCUCAUCGCAACCUGGGGCUGAAGUCGGUCCCAAGGGUUGGGCUGUUCGCCCAUUAAAGCGGUACGCGAGCUGGGUUCAGAACGUCGUGAGACAGUUCGGUCCAUAUCCGGUGCACGCGCAGGAACAUUGAGAGGAUUUCUCCCUAGUACGAGAGGACCGGGAGGAACGCACCUCUGGUGUACCAGUUAUCGUGCCAACGGUAAACGCUGGGUAGCCAUGUGCGGAGCGGAUAACCGCUGAAAGCAUCUAAGUGGGAAGCCCACCUCAAGAUGAGUGUUCCCAUGGCAUAAGCCAGUAAGGUCACGGGAAGAACACCCGUUGAUAGGCUCUACGUGGAAGCGUGGCAACACGUGAAGCGGAGGAGUACUAAUAGACCGAGGGCUUGACC
This 1349-nucleotide ribosomal RNA is filed under the name metagenome. RNAcentral describes it as "bacterial LSU rRNA". It matches the Rfam family "Bacterial large subunit ribosomal RNA", at positions 1564 to 2925 of the family's 2925-position model. The record is from RNAcentral.